This 628-nucleotide ribosomal RNA is filed under the name uncultured bacterium. Its description in RNAcentral is "bacterial SSU rRNA". It matches the Rfam family "Bacterial small subunit ribosomal RNA", at positions 129 to 783 of the family's 1533-position model. The record is from RNAcentral.
CCCCCGAGAGCGGGAUAGCCCUGGGAAACUGGGAUUAAUACCGCAUAGUAUCGAAAGAUUAAAGCAGCAAUGCGCUUGGGGAUGGGCUCGCGGCCUAUUAGUUAGUUGGUGAGGUAACGGCUCACCAAGGCGAUGACGGGUAGCCGGUCUGAGAGGAUGUCCGGCCACACUGGAACUGAGACACGGUCCAGACACCUACGGGUGGCAGCAGUCGAGAAUCAUUCACAAUGGGGGAAACCCUGAUGGUGCGACGCCGCGUGGGGGAAUGAAGGUCUUCGGAUUGUAAACCCCUGUCAUGUGGGAGCAAAUUAAAAAGAUAGUACCACAAGAGGAAGAGACGGCUAACUCUGUGCCAGCAGCCGCGGUAAUACAGAGGUCUCAAGCGUUGUUCGGAAUCACUGGGCGUAAAGCGUGCGUAGGCUGUUUCGUAAGUCGUGUGUGAAAGGCGCGGGCUCAACCCGCGGACGGCACAUGAUACUGCGAGACUAGAGUAAUGGAGGGGGAACCGGAAUUCUCGGUGUAGCAGUGAAAUGCGUAGAUAUCGAGAGGAACACUCGUGGCGAAGGCGGGUUCCUGGACAUUAACUGACGCUGAGGCACGAAGGCCAGGGGAGCGAAAGGGUUUAGAU